AGCGGAGGGAUCAUUACAGAGUUUUCUAAACUCCCAACCCUAUGUGGACUUACCUUUGUUGCUUCGGCGGCGGAGGUCGCCCUGCAGGUCAAGGCGCUGGUUGUAUCCCCGUGUUUCUCACAAUGCGCCAGCUGCCCUACCCUGCAGUCCCGGUGAUGGUGCCAUCCCAGCGUUUCUCGCAAUGGGCCAGCUACCCGGUGACCCUCCCCGCCGGCGGCCAACUAAACUCUGUUUUACUUGGAACUCUGAAUCAUAAACUUAAUAAGUUAAAACUUUCAACAACGGAUCUCUUGGUUCUGGCAUCGAUGAAGAACGCAGCGAAAUGCGAUAAGUAAUGUGAAUUGCAGAAUUCAGUGAAUCAUCGAAUCUUUGAACGCACAUUGCGCCCAUUAGCAUUCUAGUGGGCAUGCCUGUUCGAGCGUCAUUUCACCACUUAAGCCCUGUUGCUUAGCGUUGGGAGCCUACGGCACGGCCCGCAGCUCCUUAAAGUGAUUGGCGGAGUCGGUCCUCACUCUAGGCGUAGUAAAUCUAUCUCGCUUCUGUAGUGGUUCCGGCCCCCGCCGUAAAACCCCCUAUAACAAAGGUUGACCUCGGAUCAGGUAGGAAUACCCGCUGAACUUAAGCAUAUCAAUAAGCGGAGGAAAAGAAACCAACAGGGAUUGCCCUAGUAACGGCGAGUGAAGCGGCAACAGCUCAAAUUUGAAAUCUGGCCUUCGGGUCCGAGUUGUAAUUUGUAGAGGAUGAUUUUGGCGCGGUGCCUUCCGAGUUCCCUGGAACGGGACGCCUUAGAGGGUGAGAGCCCCGUACGGUUGGACACCAAGCCUCUGUAAAUCUCCUUCGACGAGUCGAGUAGUUUGGGAAUGCUGCUCUAAAUGGGAGGUAAAUUUCUUCUAAAGCUAAAUACCGGCCAGAGACCGAUAGCGCACAAGUAGAGUGAUCGAAAGAUGAAAAGCACUUUGAAAAGAGGGUUAAAUAGCACGUGAAAUUGUUGAAAGGGAAGCAUUUACUACCAGACCUUUUCCCUGCGGAUCAUGCGGUGUUCUCACCGCUGCACUUCGCUUGGUUUAGGCCAGCAUCGGUUUUCGUGGGGGGAUAAAAGCCUUAGGAACGUAGCUCCCUCGGGAGUGUUAUAGCCUUUUGCAUAAUACCCCCACGGGGACCGAGGACCGCGCU
Molecule: ribosomal RNA, 1173 nt
Filed under: Xylariaceae sp. genotype 301
Lineage: Eukaryota; Fungi; Ascomycota; Sordariomycetes; Xylariales; Xylariaceae
Description: eukaryotic LSU rRNA
Rfam family: Eukaryotic large subunit ribosomal RNA (bases 586-1173)
Source: RNAcentral